Molecule: ribosomal RNA, 465 nt
Filed under: Vreelandella stevensii
Lineage: Bacteria; Pseudomonadati; Pseudomonadota; Gammaproteobacteria; Oceanospirillales; Halomonadaceae
Description: partial 16S ribosomal RNA
Rfam family: Bacterial small subunit ribosomal RNA
Source: RNAcentral
CCUACGGGUGGCAGCAGUGGGGAAUAUUGGACAAUGGGCGAAAGCCUGAUCCAGCCAUGCCGCGUGUGUGAAGAAGGCCUUCGGGUUGUAAAGCACUUUCAGUGGGGAAGAAAGCCUUGGGGCUAAUACCCUCGAGGAAGGACAUCACCCACAGAAGAAGCACCGGCUAACUCCGUGCCAGCAGCCGCGGUAAUACGGAGGGUGCGAGCGUUAAUCGGAAUUACUGGGCGUAAAGCGCGCGUAGGCGGUCUGAUAAGCCGGUUGUGAAAGCCCCGGGCUCAACCUGGGAACGGCAUCCGGAACUGUCAGGCUAGAGUGCAGGAGAGGAAGGUAGAAUUCCCGGUGUAGCGGUGAAAUGCGUAGAGAUCGGGAGGAAUACCAGUGGCGAAGGCGGCCUUCUGGACUGACACUGACGCUGAGGUGCGAAAGCGUUGGUAGCAAACAGGAUUAGAUACCCCAGUAGUC